Molecule: non-coding RNA, 105 nt
Organism: Acanthosepion pharaonis
Lineage: Eukaryota; Metazoa; Mollusca; Cephalopoda; Sepiida; Sepiidae
Source: the annotation of a GenBank genome assembly
CAUCACGUUGAAACACCAAUUCCUGUAUGAUCACUGAAGUUAAGCAAUGUCAGGCCUGGUCAGUACCUAGAUGGGUGACUGCUUGGGAAUACCAACAGCUGUAAG